AUGUCAUUUUGAUGGCAUGUAUACUAAAAAGUAGAACUAUAUGGAGAAGAUUAGCAUGAACCUUUGGCAAGAAUGACACAAAAAUAUGAAACCAUCCAUAUUUUU
Nannospalax galili (Upper Galilee mountains blind mole rat) is the source of this 105-nucleotide small nuclear RNA. NCBI's taxonomy places the organism in Eukaryota, Metazoa, Chordata, Mammalia, Rodentia, Spalacidae. The record is from Ensembl.